Molecule: ribosomal RNA, 391 nt
Filed under: uncultured bacterium
Lineage: Bacteria
Description: bacterial SSU rRNA
Rfam family: Bacterial small subunit ribosomal RNA
Source: RNAcentral
GAAUCAACGCUGGCGGCGUGCCUCAGACAUGCAAGUCGAACGAGAAAGUUCCCUUCGGGGAAUGAGUAAAGUGGCGCACGAGUGAGUAACACGUAGGUAAUCUACCUUCGGGUGGGGAAUAACCCAGGGAAACUUGGGCUAACACCGCAUAAUGCAGCGGCACCACAUGGUGACAGUUGUUAAAGCGGGGGAUUUUUAGGACCUCGCGCCUGAAGAGGAGCCUGCGGCGGAUUAGCUUGUUGGUAAGGUAACGGCUUACCAAGGCGACGAUCCGUAGCCGGCCUGAGAGGGCGGUCGGCCACACUGACACUGACAUACGGGUCAGACUCCUACGGGAGGCAGCAGUCGGGAAUUUUGGGCAAUGGGCGAAAGCCUGACCCAGCAACGCCGC